UCCAGAUGCACGUGCCUAGAUAUCAUUUGCACGUGAACAUGAGUUUUCCUGCAUGUGCAGUGGCAAGAAGAUAACAAAGACAAACAGAACAUUGUUUAUGCCAAAUAGUAUCAGUAGGGAGCAGAGAGUAGGGAGAAAACCCAGAAAUCACCAUGCCAGAAAUGGAGGGGGGAAAUGUGUCAAAGAUAAAAGGAAGAGCUCAUUGCUCCCUGCCUAAAUUUCAGAGAGAAACACGUUUUUUAGCUGAGAAGUAAGAGUUCUCCUGGAUUACAGUAAAUAACAUAAAGAUCGUCCAACAUGACAGCAAUACUCAUCUCCUUAACUUCAGCCAUUUAAAGAUAAGUAUCUUCUAGGAUAUUUCAGAUGCGUAUCUUUGGGUGGGAAUGAAGGCCAGUGUUGUCUUAUUUCUCUAAUGACUCUAGAGGGAGCCUAGAGGAUUAGUUUCAGAUAGACAACUCAAUGGCUGAAGUUAGGUGAAAUUAAUCCCAUUUUUACUGUCCAUUCCCUGUUGUUGCUCAGACUCUUGUUGAAGACACUGCAUACUUGUUAACUCCAAGAGAGUUUCUAGUGAGCUAAUAAAGGAAGGAAUUUAUUAUUUCAGAAAAGGAUAAACAUCAAGAUCCUUACUCCCAGAAAACAGUCUUGAAAAAAACAGAAGGCAAUCAGUGGGCUGCUACAUGGACAGAAGAGUCUCGGAAUAUCAAAUUGGUCCAGCAUUUCUGUGAGAUGUCAGCAAUUUUUAACUGAGCUUUGCCUGGAGAUAUUCAACUGGUUGGAACUAAUCCAUUUCCAGAAGAAGUGAAUCAGUGUCUAGCAAUUCACUAAGCCGUUUGCCCAAGUGCUGGUUGCUAAAAAUCUGUGCUGGUUGCUAAAAAUCUGCAUUUCAUUGCGUUCGUGAGGGUAGAGUCCACCGGCACGCACAAGUGCAUCCAAGGAGGCAGCCUCCGAAGGCUUGUUUGAGCUGAUGGAUGAAAGUCCUGUAAAUAUUAAGUUACUGCAAGAUUUGUGAAAACAUGUUGCUGAGUGGAGAGGAAAAAUUCCAGAAAAGAACCACCCCCAAGAGAGUGUUUGCCAUGUGAAAUCGGUCACCAAAGAAACUAUGGGUUGGAGCUGCAGGAAACAAAAGUUUGUAAGGUCUGGUGUUCACAGAACGGCUUUUUCUUUUUCUUUUGGUUAAAGUAGAAAUUGUUUCCCUACAUCCACCCCAAAAUUAAAUAAAAUGUAUUUAUUCUGAAGGAUGAGUAAGCUGUAAUUCUGCCACUGCAUUGUGGUCUGGGGAGUUUGAGUGGAUAAAGCCUAAUUUAGAACCAUGCUAUAACAGAAAACUAGAGAAGCCAAAAAUCCCAGUCCUAUAGUGAAAUAUGCUUAAACACAUUUUUAGUAUUUUUUUUUUAGUGGUCACCUACUUUUGCAAGGUUGCUAUCAGCAACUCAAGGUCACCCAGACAGAAGUUAUGAGCACAUGUUAUUGGAAGACUCUUGAGAAAACCUAAAUGUAAAAGACAAUUACAACACUGGAGGCUUUGAAGGAAGUGCAUGAUAUAACUGGGUUUGCUGUUGACACCUUGUUCUUCAUGAUGGAAAAUUCACAAAGGCUGGAGAAAGCUCCAACAAAGCUGAGAAGGAUGUUACAACAGCACCUCACCAAGAACAAUGUGCUUUGCUCAACACUGUAGUUAUGCUGUGUCAAUACAUCAAAACAAGUCUGUUUCUCAUGAACCCAACUCUUGCUAGAGGAUAUUGAGAAUCAAAAAGUGGAACCAGGAAAACAUUACUUAUGUUUUGCAAGAUGUAGCAGUAUUCCAUCAGUACACUGCAGAAGAAUAAAGCCGUAGCAGUGGUGAAAAAAUACCUUUCUCCAGUCAAACACCAGAGACAAUAGAUAAUGAAGAAAGCAGGGUGCAGUAGAAUAUUUGGCUUUGGCAAAACUGAAUUGUUACAUAUCCAAAUAGUGUAAAUCUGAUCAGCUUAUGUGUGCCAGUCAUCAAGAGCAAAACUAGUGUUCUUUUAUCUUUUUUAUUUCUUUCCUUUUACUGUAAAAAUAGUGGAAAAAACAAAUUUAUUUCAAAACUUCUUAUGUCCUUUGUGAUAGUAGUAAUGGAUAUAUCCAUUAAAAUCCACUCAGAGCAUGAGAGAUAUAGGGUGGAAUUGACUAGAAGUAAGACCUUUUUUCGUGUCAGCUUUGGGAAAUCAUCAGAAAUACCAGAAAAAAAUGUGCAACUGUAUAAUUAAAUGAAGAAUGGAAAUUU
This is a non-coding RNA of Phalacrocorax carbo (great cormorant), 2248 nucleotides long. The record is from RefSeq and is a predicted model, not a curated record. NCBI's taxonomy places the organism in Eukaryota, Metazoa, Chordata, Aves, Suliformes, Phalacrocoracidae.